This 79-nucleotide non-coding RNA is filed under the name unclassified sequences. The record is from RNAcentral.
GGGGUUAAGGCUGCAACCUUCCCUUCUGUAAUGCAACCAAUGCAGGUCACAAGUCCUGAUGAAAAAUGCAGAGUGCAGA